UCCCUGGUGGCUCAGAUGGUAAAGCAUCUGCCUGCAAUGCAGGAGACUUGGGUUUGAUUCCUGGGUUGGGAA
This 72-nucleotide transfer RNA is filed under the name Ovis aries (sheep). It matches the Rfam family "tRNA". From Rfam's summary of the family: Transfer RNA (tRNA) molecules are approximately 80 nucleotides in length. Their secondary structure includes four short double-helical elements and three loops (D, anti-codon, and T loops). Lineage: Eukaryota; Metazoa; Chordata; Mammalia; Artiodactyla; Bovidae. The record is from Rfam by way of RNAcentral.